This 790-nucleotide ribosomal RNA is filed under the name uncultured fungus. RNAcentral describes it as "eukaryotic LSU rRNA". It matches the Rfam family "Eukaryotic large subunit ribosomal RNA", at positions 24 to 664 of the family's 3401-position model. Lineage: Eukaryota; Fungi. The record is from RNAcentral.
CCCGCUGAACUUAAGCAUAUCAAUAAGCGGAGGAAAAGAAACUAACAAGGAUUCCCUUAGUAACUGCGAGUGAAGUGGGAAAAGCUCAAAUUUAGAAUCUGGCAGUCACUUGGCUGUCCGAGUUGUAAUCUAGAGAAGUGUUGCCCGUGCUGGACCAUGUACAAGUCUCCUGGAAUGGAGCAUCACAGAGGGUGAGAAUCCUGUCUUUGACAUGGACUGCCAGUGCUUUUGUGGUACGCUCUCAAAGAGUCGAGUUGUUUGGGAAUGCAGCUCAAAAUGGGUGGUAAAUGCCAUCUAAAGCUAAAUAUUGGCGAGAGACCGAUAGCGAACAAGUACCGUGAGGGAAAGAUGAAAAGAACUUUGAAAAGAGAGUUAAACAGUGCGUGAAAUUGUUGAAAGGGAAACGUUUGACACCAGUCAUGUGGGUGGAAAAUCAGUCUUUUGCAUUGGGGAGUUGUAAGGGUUCGGACCGCAAGGCCGGCUUUUGCUUCAUCUUUGGUGUAAGUGAUGCACUUUUUCAUCUACAGGUCGACAUCAGUUUCUUUUGCUGGACAAAACUCCGAGAGAAGGUAGCAGCUUAGGCUGUGUUAUAGCUCUGGAGCGAUACAGUGAAGGGGACUGAGGUUUUCGCAGCGUGUGCUCUCGGGCAAGGCUGGAUGGGUGCUAUGGGAUCGUUCGGGGUACAAUGCCUGGCAUUUUGCUUCGUGUCUUUUCUAUACUCGCUCAACUCAGCUCUUCCACGCUUAGGAUGUUGACUUAAUGGUUUUAAACGACCCGUCUUGAAACACGG